RNAcentral lists this ribosomal RNA (359 nucleotides) under uncultured bacterium. RNAcentral's name for it is "bacterial SSU rRNA". It matches the Rfam family "Bacterial small subunit ribosomal RNA", at positions 28 to 411 of the family's 1533-position model. The record is from RNAcentral.
GAUAAACGCUGGCGGUCUGCAUAACACAUGCAAGUCGAACGAAGCUCUUUGGAGCUUAGUGGCGGACGGGUGAGUAACGCGUGAGGAUCUGCCUUUAGGACUGGGACAACGAUCGGAAACGAUCGCUAAUUCCAGAUAUGCAGUUAGUGAAACGGAGCAAUCCGCCUAAAGAUGAACUCGCGCCCGAUUAGCUAGUUGGUAGUGUAAGGGACUACCAAGGCAACGAUCGGUAGCUGGUCUGAGAGGACGAUCAGCCACACUGGAACUGAGACACGGUCCAGACUCCUACGGGAGGCAGCAGUGAGGUAAUUUUCCGCAAUGGGCGAAAGCCUGACGGAGCAAGACCGCGUGUGGGAGGA